CAAGAAUGUGUCCAUAGUACACGAAUGCCCCACUCGCACUAUCAUUUUAUAUGUUCAGUGGACCGUGAAAUCGGGGUCAUAACUUUAAUUUGGAAUUAAAAUUAGAAAGAUCAUAUGAUAGGGAACAUGUGUACUAAGUUUCAAGUUGAUGUAACUUUAACUUCAUCAAAAACUACCUUGACCAAAAACUUUAACCUGAACUUCGCACUAUCAUUUUCUAUGUUCAGUGGACCAUGAAAUUGGGGUCAAAACUAUAAUUUGGCAUUAAAAUUAGAAAGAUCAUAUCAUGAGGAACAAGUGUACUAAGUUUCAAGUUGAUUGGACUUCAACUUCUUCAAAAACUACCUUGACCAAAAACUUUAACCUGAAGCGGACGGACGAACGGAGGCACAGACCAGAAAACAUAAUGGCCCUCUACUAUCGUAGGUGGGGCAUAAAAA
This 440-nucleotide long non-coding RNA is filed under the name Mytilus galloprovincialis (Mediterranean mussel). Lineage: Eukaryota; Metazoa; Mollusca; Bivalvia; Mytilida; Mytilidae. The record is from RNAcentral.